This 1554-nucleotide ribosomal RNA is filed under the name Staphylococcus aureus. Its description in RNAcentral is "16S ribosomal RNA". It matches the Rfam family "Bacterial small subunit ribosomal RNA". The record is from RNAcentral. Lineage: Bacteria; Bacillati; Bacillota; Bacilli; Caryophanales; Staphylococcaceae.
UUUAUGGAGAGUUUGAUCCUGGCUCAGGAUGAACGCUGGCGGCGUGCCUAAUACAUGCAAGUCGAGCGAACGGACGAGAAGCUUGCUUCUCUGAUGUUAGCGGCGGACGGGUGAGUAACACGUGGAUAACCUACCUAUAAGACUGGGAUAACUUCGGGAAACCGGAGCUAAUACCGGAUAAUAUUUUGAACCGCAUGGUUCAAAAGUGAAAGACGGUCUUGCUGUCACUUAUAGAUGGAUCCGCGCUGCAUUAGCUAGUUGGUAAGGUAACGGCUUACCAAGGCAACGAUGCAUAGCCGACCUGAGAGGGUGAUCGGCCACACUGGAACUGAGACACGGUCCAGACUCCUACGGGAGGCAGCAGUAGGGAAUCUUCCGCAAUGGGCGAAAGCCUGACGGAGCAACGCCGCGUGAGUGAUGAAGGUCUUCGGAUCGUAAAGCUCUGUUAUUAGGGAAGAACAUAUGUGUAAGUAACUGUGCACAUCUUGACGGUACCUAAUCAGAAAGCCACGGCUAACUACGUGCCAGCAGCCGCGGUAAUACGUAGGUGGCAAGCGUUAUCCGGAAUUAUUGGGCGUAAAGCGCGCGUAGGCGGUUUUUUAAGUCUGAUGUGAAAGCCCACGGCUCAACCGUGGAGGGUCAUUGGAAACUGGAAAACUUGAGUGCAGAAGAGGAAAGUGGAAUUCCAUGUGUAGCGGUGAAAUGCGCAGAGAUAUGGAGGAACACCAGUGGCGAAGGCGACUUUCUGGUCUGUAACUGACGCUGAUGUGCGAAAGCGUGGGGAUCAAACAGGAUUAGAUACCCUGGUAGUCCACGCCGUAAACGAUGAGUGCUAAGUGUUAGGGGGUUUCCGCCCCUUAGUGCUGCAGCUAACGCAUUAAGCACUCCGCCUGGGGAGUACGACCGCAAGGUUGAAACUCAAAGGAAUUGACGGGGACCCGCACAAGCGGUGGAGCAUGUGGUUUAAUUCGAAGCAACGCGAAGAACCUUACCAAAUCUUGACAUCCUUUGACAACUCUAGAGAUAGAGCUUUCCCCUUCGGGGGACAAAGUGACAGGUGGUGCAUGGUUGUCGUCAGCUCGUGUCGUGAGAUGUUGGGUUAAGUCCCGCAACGAGCGCAACCCUUAAGCUUAGUUGCCAUCAUUAAGUUGGGCACUCUAAGUUGACUGCCGGUGACAAACCGGAGGAAGGUGGGGAUGACGUCAAAUCAUCAUGCCCCUUAUGAUUUGGGCUACACACGUGCUACAAUGGACAAUACAAAGGGCAGCGAAACUGUGAGGUCAAGCAAAUCCCAUAAAGUUGUUCUCAGUUCGGAUUGUAGUCUGCAACUCGACUACAUGAAGCUGGAAUCGCUAGUAAUCGUAGAUCAGCAUGCUACGGUGAAUACGUUCCCGGGUCUUGUACACACCGCCCGUCACACCACGAGAGUUUGUAACACCCGAAGCCGGUGGAGUAACCUUUUAGGAGCUAGCCGUCGAAGGUGGGACAAAUGAUUGGGGUGAAGUCGUAACAAGGUAGCCGUAUCGGAAGGUGCGGCUGGAUCACCUCCUUUCU